Molecule: long non-coding RNA, 537 nt
Organism: Salvia miltiorrhiza (redroot sage)
Lineage: Eukaryota; Viridiplantae; Streptophyta; Magnoliopsida; Lamiales; Lamiaceae
Exons: 4
Source: RefSeq, a predicted model, not a curated record
CUUCAAAAUACUCAAGUGUAGCCAACAACCCUUUUCCAUUAUAUCUCCAGCUAGAAAAUUCGUAUUUUUUUCUUUCUUAAUGCAUCUUCACUAAGAGAGGAUUUGGAUUCAGCUUCCGGCAGACUUAGAGAGCUAUUUUUUUUUAUUGAACAACAUAGCACAACAGAGAGCCAAAAGAACAAACAUUCAAGGUCAAGCGCGAGAAUGAGAGCUACUCAAGGAGUCGCAACACCUUAACAAAUCUUUGCUAUCAGGUUGAGCUGUGAUGGAUGAUGAAGUGUUGCUGAGUGGAGCUUUUGUCGAACUAAAAUUAGGCCCAGAAAGGAUAUAUGUCUGCAUACAUGUAUCUCAGUUAUGUCUUCCGCUGCAAACACUGAUUAUGUUAGAUAUAUAACUAUGCCAAUUACUCUUCAAAGAAAUAUCUAAUGCUUACUUGGGUUCAUCGAGUAUCCUUUUUAAUUAUAUGCGUCAAUCCUUCCAUGUCUUAAAUUUUAUUUCAAGAAUUAAUGCUAGAUAUCAAUGUCUAUAAUCGAGUUA